RNAcentral lists this ribosomal RNA (460 nucleotides) under uncultured bacterium. RNAcentral describes it as "partial 16S ribosomal RNA". It matches the Rfam family "Bacterial small subunit ribosomal RNA", at positions 338 to 795 of the family's 1533-position model. The record is from RNAcentral.
CCUACGGGUGGCAGCAGUGAGGAAUAUUGGUCAAUGGACGAGAGUCUGAACCAGCCAAGUAGCGUGAAGGAUGACUGCCCUAUGGGUUGUAAACUUCUUUUAUAUGGGAAUAAAACAGGGUAUACAUACCCUCUUGUAUGUACCAUAUGAAUAAGGAUCGGCUAACUCCGUGCCAGCAGCCGCGGUAAUACGGAGGAUCCGAGCGUUAUCCGGAUUUAUUGGGUUUAAAGGGAGCGUAGGUGGAGUGUUAAGUCAGUUGUGAAAGUUUGCGGCUCAACCGUAAAAUUGCAGUUGAAACUGGCAGUCUGGAGUGCAGUAGAGGUGGGCGGAAUUCGUGGUGUAGCGGUGAAAUGCUUAGAUAUCACGAAGAACUCCGAUUGCGAAGGCAGCUCGCUGGACUGCAACUGACACUGAUGCUCGAAAGUGUGGGUAUCAAACAGGAUUAGAUACCCUAGUAGUC